This 82-nucleotide transfer RNA is filed under the name Fusarium equiseti. RNAcentral describes it as "tRNA-Ala". It matches the Rfam family "tRNA". Rfam says of the family: Transfer RNA (tRNA) molecules are approximately 80 nucleotides in length. Their secondary structure includes four short double-helical elements and three loops (D, anti-codon, and T loops). The record is from RNAcentral. Lineage: Eukaryota; Fungi; Ascomycota; Sordariomycetes; Hypocreales; Nectriaceae.
GGGCGAAUGGUUUAGUGGUAUAAUACUCCCUUAGCAUCAGCUGAAUUGGGAGUGGUCCAGGGUUCGAUUCCCUGUUCGUCCA